UCGUAGGUGGUUUGUCGCGUUGUUCGUGAAAUCUCACGGCUUAACUGUGAGCGUGCGGGCGAUACGGGCAGACUUGAGUACUGCAGGGGAGACUGGAAUUCCUGGUGUAGCGGUGGAAUGCGCAGAUAUCAGGAGGAACACCGGUGGCGAAGGCGGGUCUCUGGGCAGUAACUGACGCUGAGGAGCGAAAGCGUGGGGAGCGAACAGGAUUAGAUACCCUGGUAGUCCACGCCGUAAACGGUGGGUACUAGGUGUGGGUUUCCUUCCUUGGGAUCCGUGCCGUAGCUAACGCAUUAAGUACCCCGCCUGGGGAGUACGGCCGCAAGGCUAAAACUCAAAGAAAUUGACGGGGGCCCGCACAAGCGGCGGAGCAUGUGGAUUAAUUCGAUGCAACGCGAAGAACCUUACCUGGGUUUGACAUGCACAGGACGCCGGCAGAGAUGUCGGUUCCCUUGUGGCCUGUGUGCAGGUGGUGCAUGGCUGUCGUCAGCUCGUGUCGUGAGAUGUUGGGUUAAGUCCCGCAACGAGCGCAACCCUUGUCUCAUGUUGCCAGCGGGUAAUGCCGCGGACUCGUGAGAGACUGCCGGGGUCAACUCGGAGGAAGGUGGGGAUGACGUCAAGUCAUCAUGCCCCUUAUGUCCAGGGCUUCACACAUGCUACAAUGGCCGGUACAAAGGGCUGCGAUGCCGCGAGGUUAAGCGAAUCCUUUUAAAGCCGGUCUCAGUUCGGAUCGGGGUCUGCAACUCGACCCCGUGAAGUCGGAGUCGCUAGUAAUCGCA
Molecule: ribosomal RNA, 779 nt
Filed under: uncultured Mycobacterium sp.
Lineage: Bacteria; Bacillati; Actinomycetota; Actinomycetes; Mycobacteriales; Mycobacteriaceae
Description: bacterial SSU rRNA
Rfam family: Bacterial small subunit ribosomal RNA
Source: RNAcentral